UUCAUCAGAAUGCCUAGGAAACACAUUAACCAAAAAUAGUAAACCAUGAUCCAACAAGGACAGCUCCUUGAAAAAGCUGAACACAAGCACAUGUUUCUGGCACCUUAAAACUAGAUUGCUUGCCUUCACACCUUUUCAAGAGCAAAAGGAGUUUGGUUAGAACUUAGAAAUGGGUGACAAUGAAAACCACCUAAAAUGAGCAAUCUGGUUUUAAGGUGCCAUAAACCCACCUCACACCUUUCAC
This is a non-coding RNA of Paramuricea clavata, 244 nucleotides long. NCBI's taxonomy places the organism in Eukaryota, Metazoa, Cnidaria, Anthozoa, Malacalcyonacea, Plexauridae. The record is from the annotation of a GenBank genome assembly.